UACGUAGGGGGCAAGCGUUGUCCGGAUUUAUUGGGCGUAAAGAGCGUGUAGGCGGCUGGGUAGGUCUGCUGUGAAAACUCGAGGCUCAACCUCGAGACGUCGGCGGAAACCCUCCAGCUAGAGUCCGGAAGAGGAGAGUGGAAUUCCUGGUGUAGCGGUGAAAUGCGCAGAUAUCAGGAAGAACACCGGUGGCGAAGGCGGCUCUCUGGGACGGUACUGACGCUGAGACGCGAAAGCGUGGGGAGCGAACAGG
Molecule: ribosomal RNA, 253 nt
Filed under: uncultured bacterium
Lineage: Bacteria
Description: partial 16S ribosomal RNA
Rfam family: Bacterial small subunit ribosomal RNA
Source: RNAcentral